UUUAAUUUUAUAUAUAGUAACAUUAUACAUACCACAUAACAUUUUUGGUUUUAUAUAAUCUUUUCUAAAUUAGGAUGAUUUGAUAUGUUUAAUAUUAGUGGUCUUAAAAAAUAAUUAAUUAAAGAUUUAACCCGUAUUAAAACGGUGGAUUAAUUAUAUUUUACUUUUUUAUUAAUGUUGAUUCAAAAACCCGUCCCUCCAAAUUCGUCUUGCCAAAAAAUCAUUUAUUUUAUUAAUAUUAAUUUUAUUAAUGAUAUGACUCUGAAUUAUAUUCUAAACAUUUUAGCUAAUAACAUCGGAGUGCACCAUAUUUAUUUAAUAGGGGAAUGUAGCAUAUGACCCGAAUACACUUUUAUCCAAAUCCACCAAAAAAGUCUUGCAAAAAUACUAUAGAGAUAAGAAACGAUAGUCGGUUUUGAUAGGUAUAAGAUUAGCAAAUAUAUUAGUUAGCUUAAAUUAGUUAAAGAAUACAAAUUGAAAAGGUAUAUUACAUUAUUCGAAUAUAGUAUCAAAACUUAUAUAACACAGAGAUUUGAUAAAAUUUUAAUUGUUGAAUACUUUUUUUUGUGCUAAUUUUUAUGUGAUUAAGAUUUAAUUGAUUUCAUGUGUAUGUUUUGUUGAUAUUAUCUAUAUUGUUUAGUGUUUAAGAUUAUACGCUUGUAGUUUGAUUGUUAAUUUAAGAGUUUCACUUGUAGUAUUCCAUCUUGUAUUAAUAUCGAUCUAAACCGUCAAUUCUAGGAUUUUCCAGCUUUUAUUAAAAAUUGAAUCACAUCUAAUAUGUUAUUAAUUAUUGUAGUAUAUAAGAUUAUAAAUUUUCAAUAUAAUAUGUAUGAAAUUGAAUAUAAAUAUUUCAAAUUAUGACCCGUUACUCAGUAGAAAGUUUUCUUAAAUCUAUUUUUCACCCGUUAUAAUAUUUUUUCAUGUAUUGAACAGUUUAUAUUCGUUUUUAAAAAUUCAAAUUGUAGCAUAUGCAAAAUAACUCUAAUUCUUUUUUUAUAAUGAUGAUAUUAUUUUUCCGCAAAAAUAAAAUCAUAUAAAGAUGAGAAGUGAACUAUAAUAAUUAAUAAAAAA
Molecule: small RNA, 1071 nt
Filed under: Arabidopsis thaliana (thale cress)
Lineage: Eukaryota; Viridiplantae; Streptophyta; Magnoliopsida; Brassicales; Brassicaceae
Description: ATSL235980
Source: RNAcentral